Molecule: long non-coding RNA, 242 nt
Organism: Prunus dulcis (almond)
Lineage: Eukaryota; Viridiplantae; Streptophyta; Magnoliopsida; Rosales; Rosaceae
Exons: 3
Source: RefSeq, a predicted model, not a curated record
GGUUAUGAGUCAGGUUUUUGAAAACUUUGAGGUUGAUGUGCAACUUCUCCGGCCAACAGAUAUUGAGAAGCAACAACCUUACUGGAGUUGGGGUGAUGAUGACAACGAAGAACCAAUGGUUGAAUUAUUUGGGGAUGAGGCCGAAGAAAAAACCGGCACUUCUAGUGAAGAAAAAGACGCGGAUGUUGAGGAAACAGCCACCCUUCCCUCCUCUUCUAAGGCCAAAGGGUCUGUUAAUGACG